RNAcentral lists this unclassified non-coding RNA (4008 nucleotides) under Leishmania donovani. Its description in RNAcentral is "gene:LdHU3.17.0700(CDS-product:hypothetical_prote in_conserved)". Lineage: Eukaryota; Euglenozoa; Kinetoplastea; Trypanosomatida; Trypanosomatidae. The record is from RNAcentral.
CUACUCGGCCUAUCUGCGCAGGCACUGGCGCCAGGCAAACUAAGGCCGCAUAGCACACCAUUAAGAAAGCGACUGCAACAGUGCCGUCCUUCGUUUCCCACCCCAUCUACCUGUGCGCGUCCGAGGAGGCGGCGAGAAGGUGCCGGUUGCGGGACGCUCCCGUUCGUUGUCACGGCGGCACCGGCACACGCUCGUUGGCUGUUGCAUCCACCAGGGAGCGCGGGUGGGUGGCGGAGGCGGAGGCGGGGGCCUGCGGCGACGAACACUUCACAUCUUUGCUACCUUUUCUCACCUUUUUUUUGUGUUGUGGCUUAGACGCAAGCCCCGCCGCAGCGUACUUGACACUUUCUCCGCCCCAACCCGGUGCACGCACCCACACUUGCAAUGGGCCAAGCCGCCUCCUACGCGGAGUCUUCGGUGCAGCGAGCCUUACUGCGCUUGAAGGAGGAGGAACAGGCAGACGAGGACGAGUUGCUCUGCGCCUGCGGCUAUAGGCGAGCGUCGCUGGCGUCCAGCACUGAGGAAUCGGCCGCAGUCGCUGCACGGUCAUCGCGGGAUGCAGAGCAGUCGGGGUCAUCGCCAUUGUCAGCAACUCGCUCAGCGGAUGUGCAGCUUCCGCCGCCGCCCGAGUCCCUCGGGCCGCUGGUCUCGCUGACACCUGAGUACUACACGCUUGACGAGCUGCGCCACGUGCUUCAAUACUUGCCAGAUCCGCUAUGGGUGAGCCUCUACCGCGUCUCGCUGCUGUACAUGCUGGACAACGACCGCGAUGGUCGCAUCAACUCUACCGACAUCAGCUUCUUUAUGGACUGGGGCAUCAAGACGGUGGGUCGCGAUGUCCAGCCGGACCAGCUCGCAGAGGUACUGCAAACAUAUGCGGCGCUGCAUUGCUGGCACUGCUGCCUUCACGUCGGCGAACGCAUCGAGGCUAUAAAAGCCGCAGCCGCAGCGCAGCCACAUCCUGGCCAUGGCGGCAACACUGGCGCUGGCGGGGCGGUGCGCACACGUCGACAUCACAUUUUGUCGCCCAGCGCCGUCGGCCCUUUGCCACUGCAUCAGCACCAUGAGCAGCACCACAGCCAGAGCGUGCCCUCCUUCAUGCUGUUUCACUUCCGCGAGGCCUUUCUAAACGCACCGGCUGGUGGGCCCGUGCCGCUUCCGGGCAAGAUGGAUAUCACGGCCACGAAGUCUAGUGAGAGCACUGUGUCGCCGACGCAGAGCCCCCCGUCGCUUGCGUCGUCCCCGUCGGUGUUCAGUCAGUCCAUCACGGAUAACGUUCGCCAUGCCGCGGCGGCGCACUUUGCGGAGUGGAUGCUUCGGCUUGUGCAGCACCAGGAGCGGGACCGUCGGCACGAGCGGCAGCGCUUCGAGCGUCGCGUGCGCAGCAUGGCAACCGCCUCCGACGUGAGGCUCGGUGCCACCGCCCGCCUGCGCCACUCGUCGUACGUAGCUCAACAGUCGCUGCGGCUACGCUUGUCGGCUACUUUGCUUCCCACUGAGGCCGCUAGCGCAGACCCGUCAGCCGACGGCGACGAUUUGGUCGUGUCCGUGUCACGGAAUAGCACACCAGGACAGCAUCGAUCAAUGCCGUGUGCCACCCUGAGUGCAGAUGCCGGUGCGGUGGCAGCGCUGUGGGAUGUGGAAGACGGGGCUCCGGAGUUGGAGGUGGUGGCCCCGGCGCCGUCACCGCAGUUGGCCACAUCGCUCCCCUUCAGCAAGAGUCCCACAGUGACGCCGAAGUCAAGGCCCCCCUAUUCCCACAGCACGCCCGCCACGUCGCUGACUUGCGUAAAGACGCCGCCGCAGCCAUCGUCGCCCUCAAGCAGCGUGACGCCGCUUAGCGUUCCGAUCGCGUUAGGUGGCGGUAACGGCUCCCCUAAAGGCAAUUCAUCGCCGCUACUGUCUAGCGCGAUCGGAACGCCCCCCACUUCAGCUGGUAGUCUUCCCGAUGGCCGCAGGAGGACCGCUGUUGGUGGCGCGCUCAUUACAAACACGUCACCGCCGCAUCAACCUUCGCGGCAGCACCCGUCAGCGGUGGCGCUCACCACGCGGUGGAAGUCCCUCGGUGGACCUCCGUAUGCUGCCUGCUUGAACACGGCCGUCUCGCCCGAAGACUUGGCUGCCGGCACGAGCGCCAGCGCGAACGGGGCCGGCGCCACCGAAGGGGACUUAAACGGCAGCGACUUCAGUAACGUCAACGGAUGGGUCAGCGCCUCGUCAAUAGCCUCGGCAACUGGUGCCGGCGGCGCUGCUGCUGCGGCUACAGCGCCGAGUGGUGGCUCCGCGGCGUCUUUAUUAGCACAUCAGGUGAGUGUGCUGCUGAUGGACGCGGAGGUGUUCUACGCAGAGCUGGAGGCGAACGGGUGGUGCACGAUCGGGGCGGUGGAGGAGGUGUAUCUAGACUUUGCCGUUGAGGAGUCUUACUGCUUGCCCUUCUGGUCCUUCUGCCGCUUGCUCAACAAGGCGUCCGCGGACGAGGUGCAGGCGGCGCUGGAGCUGCCCACAGACCAGGCAGUGGCAGUGCUUACGAGCGCAGUUGCAGUGGAGGAGUACAGGCGAGCGGCAGCGGUUCGGCAGCUGCAGCGGCACGCCACGAUGCAGCGCGAUGGAGGGCACGGUAACGGCAACCACUGUUACAGCAGUUCCCGUGGUGAUGGCUGGGCGCGCAACCUCCAGGUGAUUCCGAUGUUUGUGGUGUCCGAGUACACGUUUGUGGCGUUCGUCGCAGCGUUCAUACACGCCUACUGGGCGAUGCUGGCGAGCAUGGGUGUCGACCCCGUGACCUAGUCGACCUCAGCGACCCCCCUCCCUCCCCCACCGGCGUGUUUCGCCUCGGGUGGCCUUCAUGCACGCUGAAAGAAGUGCAACAAACUUCGAAGAAAGCUCGGACAGUCCGCAGAGAGGGCUAGAUGCGAAGGGCUGGUGCAAGGUAUAGUGGGCGCGCGAAGAGCAGCUCUUCAUUGCCCGCACGCGUCGACGACACGCUCACGGUUACGUUUCCCCACCCCCGCCUCUAUCUGCUGUCUGAUAUGCGCGAGGGUGUGCGUGUGCUAUGCUGCCAUUGCUUGUGUGAGCGUUUCCCCUGUUCAUCUUGUUAAGUAUUUCUUCACGGUGCCUGCGUGCCCCCUCUGCCCCUGCCCCCCUCCGCCGGUCCAAAUCCAUCACCCGGCACUGCCCUUCGAACGACUCUCUGCGUUAAAGCAGGCACGCGAGGAGGCAGAGAUGGGAGAGAGGCGGGCCGCGUAACACCCACGCACCCGCUCACAAGCGGCGCAUGCUUUCUUGCUGUUUCCUUUCUUCCUCUCAGGAUGAGUCCACUCCUUUGCCAGGCAACGCGAGGUCCACCUCCGCCCUCGAGCCUCCCCGGCGCUGCCACAGGCCACCCGUCGCGUGGCGCGGCGCAGCCCUGGGCGCACGCCGGUGCAGCAGUGCGCCGGCUCAGCCAUCUGAGAGCACGGCCUCGGCAGCGGACUCCACCCACACCCCACUCCGCAGGCAGCCUCACAGCCGCUCCCGUCAUGCCGGCCACCGCCCCCGGUGCACCCCCCUCGCGGUGGCGCAGGCUCCCUCCACCAGUGGGCAGCGAGGGCCGGGUGGCAGAUGCCUUCGAGCCACGCCGGCACUCGGCUUGUCAUGUCGGCGGCACAAGCGUGCUCGCGGUCGCUGGUCGCUCCGGCGCCGCGCCAUCCACGACCUGACCGCCGACAUCAGUCGCCGUGCAUCGCUCUGGCCCCCGCGCGUCGCCGGUGCUUGGCCCUGUGGCCACCAGAGGGGCGGCUCGGCAUUUGGCUGGGGAUAGGGCGGGGGCGGGACCGCCUGGCUUUCUCCCACAAGGAGAGAGGGAGAGUGGGGGGUGCACUGGGCCCUGUGAGGCCGCGCGCUGGGGCGCUGUGGCCCCCUCCCUCCCCCCGCUCACCUCACCAUCUCCGUCAUAAUGGGGCUCGCACACAGCAAGAAAAACCGAAAAGACGAGUCAUUGAUGCGUUCACCGCGCAUACCACACUCAAC